AAGUUCUCUCACAGCUCGCCGCCACCGCCCCCCCCAAGCUCUCAAACUUCCCCUUUUGAACCCUCCGGGUCCCCGUCCAGACAUGCUCAGUACAUAGGUUCUUAUCCAUACAUAGUCAGGGGCAUGUGUUUUUUGCACAUGCUCAGUUGCAAAGUUUUCCCCAUGCAUGUUCCUGGGCUGUGUUACCGGCGUCCGUGGUCUGGGGGUUUCUUUGUGGGCCGGGGUCUCUGUGAUGAAGAUUUUUAGUCUUCCUCGAUGUCCGCAAGAUGAACCCGGCUUGGAGCAUGCGCCUUUAAUAGGUAUUUUUCCUCCCGUUCCAGUCUUAUCGUCUAUAUAAAUCACUUUGACUCUUUGUUUAGAGGAAGCUUCUCAGUGUCCCCAGCUGGUGUAGUUAAUUACACUGCCAGACUUCCCUCCCCCCUUCCUUAUCAGCCUCGGGAACAAACAGCAGCUUGUUAGAAGCAGUUAACAGCUAUGUGGGAAAUACAAACGGAAAUCACAUAUCAAUGUCCUGAAGUUUUACUAAGCUUAACAAAAAAAAAAAAAGAAUCCCCUUUAAAAUAUAGUUUAUUACAGCCCCUUCCCGCCGGGUCCGGCCUGCUGGGACAUGCGGAGUCCCUGAAAGCCUUGGUGUCUUCGGUGAGACCCUCGGGGGUCAGAACCCAAAAGCUCCCCAGUGACACUACCUAAAAACUGGUGUUUAUUAAGGCAUCACAAUGUGUCCUAGGCUAUGGUGCAACUGGGCCUGGAAAUAAUGAUUAAGGGGUAUGUAUAUGUAUAUGUAUGUAUAUGUAUAUGUAUGUAUAUGUAUAUGUAUAUGUAUAUGUAGAUAUGUCAAGAAAACAUUUAACACACCUAAGUUGCCUUACUGGUACGUAAUUUUUAACUCUAAUGCAUCUUCUCUGUGAUAGUGCCUAUGCUGCUAUUCACAGGUGCCUAUAGCUCCACUUCAGGCUGUAGAAUCAAGUCCUGGCCCUAUUUCUACAUUAAGUGAAGCCUAUUUUCAUGACUGAAAUUCAGGGACAGGAUAUUCAUGGUUGUAAUACAUACUUUCAAAGUGAAUUGCCUUAAAAGAUAGACAGCCCCUACUGCACGCUUUGUCAGUGUGUCCCCCCCCAAGCUCUGAAUACACAACGUGACAGUCUGCCUAAAGCAUCUCAAUGGACAUCAUUAAUGCAAAAUUGGGUUUUAUUCAGAAGCAUAAUUUAAAUUCUUACAUGCCAGCCUACCACGCAUCUUCAGUAGACUCACAAUCUAUAGGCAAUUUUAUCUAAGAAAAGUUAAUUUUGGAGAAAUAAUAUGUACAGUGAAAACUUGAAGAAAUAAUAUGUACAGUGAAAACUUGAAGAAAUUUGUGUUUAACUUAUCACCUGUUCAACAUUUGUCUGAAAUAAAGUCAGAAAUUGAUAAUAAAACCAUUGUAUUUAACCUUGAUUAUAUAGUUAUAACCUUAUCUAACAGCUCUUGUAGGUAUUUAUCUGGCAGGCUAAAUCUCAUUCCUUCUGCUUUUGGUUUACUGAAGCUGACUAAAAAUGCAGUUAUUCCAAAAUGUAGCUGUCUGGGCCUGCCACAAGCCAGAAAACUUAGAGGAACUCUUGCACAAUAAAUGUGUGGACAGUUGAACCCUUGUAACAUGGAGCUCAUCCAGAAAAAGGCAUCAUCCCAUGGCAUAAUCUCCAAAGCAAUUAAGCGUGGCCUCUUGCUGAAUUCCUUUGGUGCUGAUUUAUAUGCUGUGAGACUUUUGACUUCUUCUAAGGAUCUCAAAAAUCUGGAAGAUGCUGUGAAGACAUUGGACAGAUGCCAUGGCAACAGCCUCCAAAGGAAGUAUGUUGGUUUGUCUACCUGCAAGGAUAUGCCAGAGGAAUUAUUCUUGUCCUAUGUGGGAUAAAAAUAAUCUUGUUCAUUUACAUGUCUUCAUACAUGUUAGGAAAGAAAGAUAUUUUUUUUUAUAUCAUCAUGAAAUCGUCUUUAGUAUUCAGGAGCACUGAAUACUUCUAGGGUAGGUGUGGUGGGUUGACCUUGGCUGGACACCAGGGGCCCAUCCAGCUACUCUGUCACUCCCCUUCUCAGCCAGGAAAGGGGAGAGAGAAUAAGUUGGAAAAUGACUCAUGAGUUGGGAUAAGGCAGUUUAUUAAAGCAAAAGCAAAACAAGAGCUUCAUGCACAAAAGCAAAGAGAAAAAUAACAAGGUUUAUUCUCCACUUCCCAUCAGCAGCAAUGGCCAGUCACUUUCCCGAGAAGCAGGGCUUCAGCAGGUGUAAUGUUUUCUCAGCAGGCAACCAUUGGAGACAAUGAAUGCCCCCUUUGCAGCCAUUGGAGACAUUGAAUGCCCCCUUUCCUGCUCCUUUCCUUAGCUUUUAUAUCUGAGCUGAUGUCAUAUGGUCUGGAAUAUCCCUUUGGUUAGUUUGGGUCAGCUGGUCUACUUGUGUCCCCUCCCAGAAUCUUGCCCUCGAUCGAGGAAGGAAUGUUACAGUGCUGAUGCUGUGCUCAGCAGUAGCCAAAACACCGGUGUGUUAUCAACACCCUUCUAGCUGCCAAUGCAAAGCACAGCACUGUGAGGGCUGCUAUGGGGAAAUGAACUCCAGAUCAGCCAGACCCAAUACAGUAGGUAAUGGGCAGAGAUGUGGCUGAUCCAGCACAAUCCCAGAAGCUCUUAGCUGCAGUGCAGGUCAUGGGUCACUGCUAAUAGUGAACUCCAGCUUACUCAAAACACACAGACUCACAUACUAACAACUGCUGAAUGGUACCAGCUAAAUUCAGCACUGGCUAAUUCACCCUUCUGCUUCAAUGCAUAGGAAGUAGUUCAAACGAUUUAGGUGACACAUCUGGAUUUCAGGACUGUCUUUUCAGUGUAGGAAACAGCAGUCUGUCACUGCAACCUAUGUCCCUGUGGUGGUUUGACCCUGGCUGGCUGCCAGGCACCCACCAAAGCUGCUCUAUCACUCCCCUUUGCAACUGGACAGGGGAGAGAAAAUCUAACAAAAGGCUCAUGAGUUAGGGAGAGAUCACUCACCAAUCACCAUCAUGGGCAAAAUAGACUUGACUUCAGGAUAUAUAAUUGAAUUUAUUACCAAUCAGAAUCAGAGUAGGAUAAUGAGAAGUAAAACAAAUCUUAGAAACACCUUCCCCCCACCACUCCCUCCUGGGCAUGACUUUAUUCCUGAGUCUCUACCUCCUCCCCUUAAGUGGCACAGGGAGACAGGGAAUGGGGGUUAUGGUCAGUUCACAUGUUGUUGCUGCUGCUGCUUCCUCCUCAGGGAGAGGAGCCCUUCCCCUGCUCCAGCAUGAGGUCCCUCACACAGGAGACAGUCCUCUAUGAACUUCUCCAAUGCAAGUCCAUCCCAUGGGCUUCAGUUCUUCACAUGCAAACCCAAUACAGUCCCAUUGCAGCUUCUGCCCAGCACUUUUGGUCCAGUCAGGUCCAGUGAUGGGAGAAAUUCUUUGUUGUGCCAGCAAAACUGUGAUCCUAUUAAGCAUCUCAAUCAGGGUUUAUUGAAUACUGUGGAAGCAGGUGCCUUUCUGUAUCCCCUAGCACCAUGUUCUGCUGCCUGUCCUAUCUGGUUGGGGUUGAAAAACGGAAGCAAAAUGCAACACUGGACAUACUCAUUCAUUUUUUUCUUCCAUCCCUCUGGGAUACAAGCCUCUCUGCCUCAAGUUGACCCUAUCCAAGGCCCAUGGACCUUCCUGACCUUCUUGUUCUAUUGUGGCACUUUGAUGGGGAAGAGGAGAAUCAGUCACUACCAGUCUCUCCUCACAACUAAAGCAGAGCAGCCUUACAGAUAAGUCCAGCUCAGGGACAGGGAGACCAAAACCAGGGCUGACUCGGCAAUACAGAGGAAAGUGGGUAUGUGCACCAAAUAACCUCAGUGGUAUUUGUUUUACAUAGGUUUGGUGUCAUACUACAUAGGACCAUUGUCACGGUGCAGUACAGCCAUACAGUACCUGAUGUGACUAUGGUGGAAUUUGUAUUUGUUCUAUGACACUUGAACACUGCUGAAAGGUGUGAUGGUUCAGACUUGGCUCCCUGCCAAAUGCCCAAACUCACAGUAACAACCCUUUCCCCCUCCCUUCUUUUCUUAGGGCAAAGGAAAAAAAACUAUAAAAAUUGAAGAACCCGAAAUCAAACUAGUUAUAUAAAAAUAUAUAUUUUACCUAUAUUACAGUUUUACACAAUUAAAAUGCUAUGUACACAGCGAAGGGAAUCCAAACACCCCCGAAGGGAAAGGGGAAAAAGGGACAAAAAGGGACACAGAACAGAUAUACACAAUCAAACCCAAGAACUAGCAAAGUAAAGAACUAGCAAAACAAAUCUCACCAUGUCCCUCAGAAAAACAAGAUCACAAGACACGGCCAGCACUCUCCAAGCCUCCUGCGUGGUAGAGCAGUGGUCGCUGCAGGCCUCAGCCUCUAGAUAAGCGAGACCAAUGCAAGGAUCCACUGCUCCUGAACCUCAUGGGAAGAGAAGAGAAUGAAGGCCUCUCCUCCCUUCUUAUUUAUACCCUGGUCUACGUAAAAAUUGUAUGGAAUACUGGGAACAUGGCCACUUCCUUGGUUACAAAAUGCUCACCAAGGAAGACCUAGAUUAAAACUACCACAAAAGGACUUGUGUGUAGCAAAUGCAAGACUGAUAUCUAAACAAUUUCUGUCUAAUGUCAUCAUUUUGGCAUCACUUACUUGUGCACAUGUGGAACGCCCUUUGUGCAAGUGAGGAUGACUGCAAGGCAUAGGAAUGGUGAAGAUUCAAGCUUGAUAUAUGCUAGAAGCUAGUUGGUGUUUGAUACCAAUUAUCUUCAGAGAUGCAGACAAGGUAAAGUCUUUAUUUCUAAAUGUGAUCUCUUAGGUCAAAGGAAUGCUUUUAGGUCCUUUUGGAUAUUGAACACUUUAACCUUGGUAACAAUGUCUCAGGAAGGCUGCAGGAGAACUGAAGAAUUCAAGGGCCAAAUUUUCAUGAAGGUCAGUUUGAAUGCCUUUGUUUCUGGAUAUCAUCGUGAUUUGCAGAGAUAGACACCUCAUUUGAAUUAAUGGGGAAGAAAAACUACCUGAAUAUCCAUUACCAAGCAGUCAAAAGAAAUGUAACUUUUUUUGUAUGUGUCAUGGUUUAACCCCAGCAGGCAACUAAGUAUCACAGCCACUCGCUCACUCUACCCCAUCCCAACCCCCCAGUGGGGGGAACAGGAAAGAAAAAGUAAACCUCGUGGGUUGAGAUAAGAACAGUUUAAUAAUUGAAAACAAAUAUAACAAUGAUAAUAAUAAUAGUAACAGCAACAAUAACAAUAAUAAUAGUAAUUAUAAGGAGAGUGAGACAGUAACAGAGCCCAAGAGAAACAAGUGAUGAACAAUGCAAUUGGUCAGCAGGUGGUGAGCAUGACAUUCCACGGUAUGGAAUAUCCCUAUGGCCAGUUCAGGUCAGCUGUCAUGGCCAUGCUCCCUCCAAGCUUCUUGUGUAGUUCCUCCCUGGCAGAGCCUGAGACACUGAAAAGUGCUUGACUCAGGAUAAGCACUGCUCAGCAACAGCCAAAAUGUCACUGUGUUUUCAACAUGAUUCUGUACUGAAUCCAAAUCACAGCACUGUACCAACUACUGAGAAGAAAAUUAACUCUAUUCCAGCCGAAACCAGGACAGUAUGCUAUCCACAUUCUUCACUUUGAAAACUUUUGAGUGAAUUUGAACCAGAAACACUAGCAACCACAAGAUGACAGUAUAGUUCAACUAAAACUCUUCUCUUAAACAACCCUGUAAAAACUCUCUAAACAGUAACAGUAAAUUAGGUUAAUUAAUUGAAAACAAUAUUAUUUGUACAGUUCUUAAGUCUCUGUGACAAUAACUGAAAAUAUGAGCAAACAGUAAUGCUUAUGAAAAAGGCUGCUGCAUCCUGCUAAGAAACUAAUGAUUAUAAUACAAAAAGACUUAUAUUUCUUUAAAAUGAAAAUGAGUAGAAGAAAAUUAAACAGCUGUCACAAACAUAGGAAAUUUCUUGCUAAAAUAUAGUGGAAAAUAUAAAAAAAAUGAUCAAACUAAUUUGUAUAACAAAGCUUAUAUAACAUGUAUAAAAUACAUUUGAUACUGUUGCUUCCUAUAGCCAGUCCUCAAUGGGAAGAGCCCCUUUAUCACAACUAUGUACUCUUUCCAUGCAUUCAGACUCUUCCAUAAAAACCAGCACAAAAUAUGACCUCACGUGUAGCAUAUUAAAAUCAACACCAGAGUUUAAUAAUAAUGAUCAAUUAUCCAAACUCACACUAAAGAGGGCCUCUGAGUGUUUUUCUCAGUAUUGAAAUUUUCAUAGUCACUCAUCCUUUCUAUUUAUAAUGGCAUGAAUGGGUUGGUACUGAUGAUCACAUCUCUUCUACAAACUCAUGAGCAGUGCUCAUGCAAGUAAGUUACAUUAGAAGAGCAAUAUUUUUCUAUUAUGGCUCAGUAGCAUUGGACAGAGAGACCAGAUAAUAGUCUUCAGAUCACUGACAAAUGCUUGGAGGGUGACACUAAUGCUUGGUAAAUCAUGGUUGAAGCAUGACUACCAUUACAAACAUAGCAGGAGCAAGAGCUUUCCACUCACUUCCUCAACUGCAUUUAACCUUUACCUUGGGAUAGCCAGGAAGGAUCCUGGGUCCUUCCCCACAAGAAAUCCCACUAAAAUCUUUCUUUGUUGUUACAUUUUGCUAGGGGAACAGGGGCAACAUACCUCUAUACAACAGAGAUAACUACAAACCUGGGACAUGUCACACAGUGCAACAGUGUCUUACAGAAUUUUAAAAUUUCCCUAGGUUUUGGGGUUUUUUUAAUGCUUAGACACAUUACAGAGUUGUGGGGCAUUGUUGCACCAAAGCAGUAAGUCUCAAAGGGGAUUUCACUGGCUAACCUCAAGCUCGCAGAGGUGGUGGCAUGGCAAUUUGGGCUAAGCACUAGAAGGAAUGCCUACAAGAAAGCUGCAAAUUCCUUUACAAGGCAACAGCCAUUUUCUUCUCUUUUCAGUUGUAUAGCAACUAAAUAUUCUCAUUUUCUCAGUGUUAUUUUGAUAACAAGCAACCUAUAUUGAUCUUGUUUUGUUUGACAUUGUUGUCUUAAACCUUUAUUGCAUUAUUCAUGCACAAAUAUAUGCACACACAAGCCUUGAACAAAAUUUUCACUGGAGAUACACAACAAGCUUUUGAACCACCUGUUGUGUUUUUGCCCUGGCUCAAUUUGCUUUCACACCUCCCACACAAUUACUAAUCAGUUGAGAGAAGGUUUAUGCAGACAAAAGAGACUGGAUUGGGGAAAAAAGUAUGACUAUUUAUUACUAGUACAAUAAAAACUACUAAAGAAUUAUAUCUACAAUAAUCUUACUUAAGUAAAAGGUGCCAUGUAUUUACAGAAAAUACUCCUCCCCCCCCCUUUUUAUAUCAGUCCAAGGAGGAGAAGCAGUUUCCAUCUCCAUUCUCGGAGUUCCAGCUCUCUCUCUCCAGUAACUCUGCAGCACCCUCAUCGCAGCUGGAACUCUUUCUCCUUCUCUGUGUUGGCCUCCAGGGCUGGGCCUACCCUCCUCUUGGGCUAAGGCCAGAGGCUGGGGGUUACCCAGGUCCUGAAGGUUUUUCUUCCAUAGGCUUGCAAGGGGACACUUGCUUACUAUGGAUCUUCUUCCACGGGGUUACAGGGGAUAAUGGUUUAAGAGUCCACCCCUGUUCUCUAUGGAGGUCCCUCCCCAUGGGAGAACAGUCUUUGAUAGACUUCUCUGGCAUGAGUCUAGUAUGGAUCCCACACAUGGAUCCCAACAUCCUUACCCGAGCCGUUUCUGCUCCAGUGUAAGGCUUUCUCUCUCUCUCAAAGUCACAAAUCUUCAGUAGCAGCAUGGAUCUUUCACACAGAUCCCAAAAUCCCACCUGGGCCAUCUUGCUCCAGUGUGAGGUUCUCUCAGGGUCACAAAUCUCCAGCACCAGCAGCAUGGAUCUCUCACUGAGAUCCCAAAGCUUAUCCGAACCGUCCUCAC
Molecule: long non-coding RNA, 7962 nt
Organism: Myiozetetes cayanensis
Lineage: Eukaryota; Metazoa; Chordata; Aves; Passeriformes; Tyrannidae
Exons: 3
Source: RefSeq, a predicted model, not a curated record